This 253-nucleotide ribosomal RNA is filed under the name uncultured bacterium. RNAcentral describes it as "partial 16S ribosomal RNA". It matches the Rfam family "Bacterial small subunit ribosomal RNA", at positions 524 to 776 of the family's 1533-position model. The record is from RNAcentral.
UACAGAGGUCCCAAGCGUUGUUCGGAUUCACUGGGCGUAAAGGGUGCGUAGGUGGCCAGGUAAGUUCGGUGUGAAAGCUCGGAGCUUAACUUCGAAAUGUCAUUGAAUACUAUCUGGCUAGAGGGUCGGAGGGGAGACUGGAAUUCUCGGUGUAGCGGUGAAAUGCGUAGAUAUCGGGAGGAACACCAGUGGCGAAGGCGACUACCUGGCCUGUUCUUGACGCUGAGGCGCGAAAGCUAGGGGAGCAAACGGG